Molecule: ribosomal RNA, 414 nt
Filed under: Clostridioides difficile
Lineage: Bacteria; Bacillati; Bacillota; Clostridia; Peptostreptococcales; Peptostreptococcaceae
Description: bacterial SSU rRNA
Rfam family: Bacterial small subunit ribosomal RNA
Source: RNAcentral
UUUUAUUUGAGAGUUUGAUCCUGGCUCAGGAUGAACGCUGGCGGCGUGCCUAACACAUGCAAGUUGAGCGAUUUACUUCGUUAAAGAGCGGCGGAGGGGUGACUAACGCGUGGGUCACCUUCCCUGUAUACACUGAUAACAUACAUAAAGGUAUGCUAAUACGUUAUAAUACAUUUGAGCGGCAUCGCUGAAAUAUCAUUGGGGAGCCAGUACCGGAUGUGCCCGCGUCUGAUUAGCUAGUUGGAAAGGUAACGGAUUACCAAGGCGUCGAUCAGUAGCCGACCUGAGAGGGUGAUCGGCCCUAUUGGAACUGAGACACGGUCCAAACUCCUACGGGAGGCAGCAGUGGGGAAUAUUGCACAAUGGGCGAAAGCCUGAUGCAGCAACGCCGCGUGAGUGAUGAAGGCCUUCGGG